Molecule: ribosomal RNA, 467 nt
Filed under: uncultured bacterium
Lineage: Bacteria
Description: partial 16S ribosomal RNA
Rfam family: Bacterial small subunit ribosomal RNA
Source: RNAcentral
GACGAACGCUGGCGGCGUGCUUAACACAUGCCAGUCGAACGGAAAGGCCCUGCUUUUGUGGGGUGCUCGAGUGGCGAACGGGUGAGUAACACGUGAGUAACCUGCCCUUGACUUUGGGAUAACUUCAGGAAACUGGGGCUAAUACCGGAUAGGAGCUCCUGCUGCAUGGUGGGGGUUGGAAAGUUUCGGCGGUUGGGGAUGGACUCGCGGCUUAUCAGCUUGUUGGUGGGGUAGUGGCUUACCAAGGCUUUGACGGGUAGCCGGCCUGAGAGGGUGACCGGCCACAUUGGGACUGAGAUACGGCCCAGACUCCUACGGGAGGCAGCAGUGGGGAAUAUUGCACAAUGGGCGGAAGCCUGAUGCAGCAACGCCGCGUGCGGGAUGACGGCCUUCGGGUUGUAAACCGCUUUCGCCUGUGACGAAGCGUGAGUGACGGUAAUGGGUAAAGAAGCACCGGCUAACACGUG